UACGGAGGGUGCGAGCGUUAUCCGGAUUCACUGGGUUUAAAGGGUGCGUAGGUGGGUCUGUAAGUCAGUGGUGAAAUCUCCGAGCUUAACUUGGAAACUGCCAUUGAUACUAUAGAUCUUGAAUUUUCUGGAGGUAAGCGGAAUAUGUCAUGUAGCGGUGAAAUGCUUAGAUAUGACAUAGAACACCAAUUGCGAAGGCAGCUUGCUACAGGAAUAUUGACACUGAGGCACGAAAGCGUGGGGAUCAAACAGG
RNAcentral lists this ribosomal RNA (253 nucleotides) under uncultured bacterium. RNAcentral describes it as "partial 16S ribosomal RNA". It matches the Rfam family "Bacterial small subunit ribosomal RNA", at positions 524 to 776 of the family's 1533-position model. The record is from RNAcentral.